AAGGUUUCCGUAGGUGAACCUGCGGAAGGAUCAUUACCGAGUGAGGGCCCUUUGGGUCCAACCUCCCACCCGUGUUUAUUUUACCUUGUUGCUUCGGCGGGCCCGCCUUUACUGGCCGCCGGGGGGCUCACGCCCCCGGGCCCGCGCCCGCCGAAGACACCCCCGAACUCUGUCUGAAGAUUGAAGUCUGAGUGAAAAUAUAAAUUAUUUAAAACUUUCAACAACGGAUCUCUUGGUUCCGGCAUCGAUGAAGAACGCAGCGAAAUGCGAUACGUAAUGUGAAUUGCAAAUUCAGUGAAUCAUCGAGUCUUUGAACGCACAUUGCGCCCCCUGGUAUUCCGGGGGGCAUGCCUGUCCGAGCGUCAUUGCUGCCCUCAAGCCCGGCUUGUGUGUUGGGCCCCGUCCUCCGAUUCCGGGGGACGGGCCCGAAAGGCAGCGGCGGCACCGCGUCCGGUCCUCGAGCGUAUGGGGCUUUGUCACCCGCUCUGUAGGCCCGGCCGGCGCUUGCCGAUCAACCCAAAUUUUUAUCCAGGUUGACCUCGGAUCAGGUAGGGAUACCCGCUGAACUUAAGCAUAUCAAUAAGCGGAGGAAAAGAAACCAACAGGGAUUGCCCCAGUAACGGCGAGUGAAGCGGCAAGAGCUCAAAUUUGAAAGCUGGCUCCUUCGGGGUCCGCAUUGUAAUUUGCAGAGGAUGCUUCGGGAGCGGUCCCCAUCUAAGUGCACUGGAACGGGACGUCAUAGAGGGUGAGAAUCCCGUAUGGGAUGGGGUGUCCGCGCCCGUGUGAAGCUCCUUCGACGAGUCGAGUUGUUUGGGAAUGCAGCUCUAAAUGGGUGGUAAAUUUCAUCUAAAGCUAAAUAUUGGCCGGAGACCGAUAGCGC
RNAcentral lists this small RNA (880 nucleotides) under Penicillium polonicum. RNAcentral describes it as "eukaryotic LSU rRNA". The stretch from base 535 to 880 matches the Rfam family "Eukaryotic large subunit ribosomal RNA", at positions 1 to 343 of the family's 3401-position model. Lineage: Eukaryota; Fungi; Ascomycota; Eurotiomycetes; Eurotiales; Aspergillaceae. The record is from RNAcentral.